ACCUUGCGGUUGUGAGGCAGGCACCCGAACCACUGAGCUAAAUCCCCAGCCCUAUGUGAACUAUUUUGCUGCUUCGAAAGGCCCAUGACUGAACAGACUUCAAACAGGUUACAAGUGGUGCCCAGCAAGUCAUGAAGAUCCUUGAAGAGAAGCCCACACCGUCAGCACAGGCAUAUGGACAGAUAUUUCUCAAUCUCCAACCAGCCAAGAUUGCACAGCUAGAAACUUAGGU
Non-coding RNA from Heterocephalus glaber (naked mole-rat), 232 nucleotides. NCBI's taxonomy places the organism in Eukaryota, Metazoa, Chordata, Mammalia, Rodentia, Bathyergidae. The record is from RefSeq and is a predicted model, not a curated record.